Oxyura jamaicensis (ruddy duck) is the source of this 115-nucleotide long non-coding RNA. RefSeq lists it as uncharacterized. Lineage: Eukaryota; Metazoa; Chordata; Aves; Anseriformes; Anatidae. The transcript has 2 exons. The record is from RefSeq and is a predicted model, not a curated record.
GGGGAAAAUAAUAAAUAUGUAUUAGAGCUCAUGUAAUAUGUAACAGUGCACACUUUUGAGGGAAGCUAUUCCCAGUGCGCCUGGUGCACCGCAAUAAAGUGUACCUACUUUACAA